AGCAGUGGGGAAUAUUGGACAAUGGGCGAAAGCCUGAUCCAGCCAUGCCGCGUGUGUGAAGAAGGUCUUCGGAUUGUAAAGCACUUUAAGUUGGGAGGAAGGGCAUUAACCUAAUACGUUGAUGUUUUGACGUUACCGACAGAAUAAGCACCGGCUAACUCUGUGCCAGCAGCCGCGGUAAUACAGAGGGUGCAAGCGUUAAUCGGAAUUACUGGGCGUAAAGCGCGCGUAGGUGGUUUGUUAAGUUGAAUGUGAAAUCCCCGGGCUCAACCUGGGAACUGCAUCCAAAACUGGCAAGCUAGAGUAGGGCAGAGGGUGGUGGAAUUUCCUGUGUAGCGGUGAAAUGCGUAGAUAUAGGAAGGAACACCAGUGGCGAAAGCGACCACCUGGGCUCAUACUGACACUGAGG
RNAcentral lists this ribosomal RNA (409 nucleotides) under uncultured bacterium. Its description in RNAcentral is "bacterial SSU rRNA". It matches the Rfam family "Bacterial small subunit ribosomal RNA", at positions 350 to 751 of the family's 1533-position model. The record is from RNAcentral.